GACGAACGCUGGCGGCGUGCCUAAUACAUGCAAGUCGAGCGCAGGAAGCCAUCUGAACCCUUCGGGGGGACGACGGUGGAAUGAGCGGCGGACGGGUGAGUAGCACGUAAAGAACCUGCCCAUAGGUCUGGGAUAACCACGAGAAAUCGGGGCUAAUACCGGAUGUGUCAUCGGACCGCAUGGUCCGCUGAUGAAAGGCGCUCCGGCGUCGCCCAUGGAUGGCUUUGCGGUGCAUUAGCUAGUUGGGGGGGUAACGGCCAACCAAGGCGACGAUGCAUAGCCGACCUGAGAGGGUGAUCGGCCACACUGGGACUGAGACACGGCCCAGACUCCUACGGGAGGCAGCAGUAGGGAAUCUUCCACAAUGGACGAAAGUCUGAUGGAGCAACGCCGCGUGAACGAUGAAGGCUUUCGGGUCGUAAAGUUCUGUUGUAAGGGAAGAACAAGUGCCGCAGGCAAUGGCGGCACCUUGACGGUACCUUGCGAGAAAGCCACGGCUAACUACGUGCCAGCCGCCGCCGUAA
This 524-nucleotide ribosomal RNA is filed under the name uncultured bacterium. RNAcentral describes it as "partial 16S ribosomal RNA". It matches the Rfam family "Bacterial small subunit ribosomal RNA", at positions 28 to 523 of the family's 1533-position model. The record is from RNAcentral.